Molecule: ribosomal RNA, 468 nt
Filed under: uncultured bacterium
Lineage: Bacteria
Description: partial 16S ribosomal RNA
Rfam family: Bacterial small subunit ribosomal RNA
Source: RNAcentral
GACGAACGCUGGCGGCGUGCUUAACACAUGCAAGUCGAACGGAAAGGCCCUGCUUUUGUGGGGUGCUCGAGUGGCGAACGGGUGAGUAACACGUGAGUAACCUGCCCUUGACUUUGGGAUAACUUCAGGAAACUGGGGCUAAUACCGGAUAGGAGCUCCUGCUGCAUGGUGGGGGUUGGAAAGUUUCGGCGGUUGGGGAUGGACUCGCGGCUUAUCAGCUUGUUGGUGGGGUAGUGGCUUACCAAGGCUUUGACGGGUAGCCGGCCUGGGAGGGUGAACGGCCACAUUGGGACUGAGAUACGGACCAGACUCCUACGGGAGGCAGCGGUGGGGAAUAUUGCACAAUGGGCGGAAGCCUGAUGCAGCAACGCCGCGUGCGGGAUGACGGCCUUCGGGUUGUAAACCGCUUUCGCCUGUGACGAAGCGUGAGUGACGGUAAUGGGUAAAGAAGCACCGGCUAACUACGUG